UUGCCACCUGAAAUAUCUCUUUUUCUGUUGAAUAUCUGUCUCUUCCACAGGAAUGUCACCUCCUGAGAUCAGGGACUCCGCUUUGAUAUUCACUGCAUCCCAAGUGCCAAAAAAUACCUCCUGACAUACAUUUGUAUUGAAUGAGUGAUUAGAUGAAUAAUGCUGAACUCUUGAACUAAAAAGCCACAGUUGGGCCAUGGGGAAGCAAGGAAGGCGUCAGCAGAGAGAAGCAGGGAGAGGAAGCAGACACAUUCCUCCCGGAGAGUGGAGAUGCCAGAGAGAGGGGAGAAGCACUGCUCCUGAUGGCCAAGGCCAAGUCCCAGGGGGUCCAGCUGUUUCCUGCCUGCGAUACGACAGCACCACAGACAUACACGCACCAUGCACACACAGACCACACACACCUCAUACACACUAUAUACCCACAGACUGCAGACACCUCACACAUACACAGACCACACACACCUCACACCUCACACACUACAUACCCACAGACCACACACACCUC
RNAcentral lists this long non-coding RNA (505 nucleotides) under Pan troglodytes (chimpanzee). RNAcentral's name for it is "long non-coding RNA NONPTRT005105". Lineage: Eukaryota; Metazoa; Chordata; Mammalia; Primates; Hominidae. The record is from RNAcentral.